UGGACCUCAGAUCAGGCAAGAUCACCCGCUGAGUUUAAGCAUAUCACUAAGCGGAGGAAAAGAAACUAACAAGGAUUUCCUUAGUAACGGCGAGCGAACCGGAA
Molecule: ribosomal RNA, 104 nt
Filed under: Frullania intermedia
Lineage: Eukaryota; Viridiplantae; Streptophyta; Jungermanniopsida; Porellales; Frullaniaceae
Description: partial 26S ribosomal RNA
Rfam family: Eukaryotic large subunit ribosomal RNA
Source: RNAcentral